AGUGAACGCUGGCGGUAGGCCUAACACAUGCAAGUCGAACGGCAGCACAGUAAGAGCUUGCUCUUACGGGUGGCGAGUGGCGGACGGGUGAGGAAUACAUCGGAAUCUACUUUUUCGUGGGGGAUAACGUAGGGAAACUUACGCUAAUACCGCAUACGACCUACGGGUGAAAGCAGGGGAUCUUCGGACCUUGCGCGAUUGAAUGAGCCGAUGUCGGAUUAGCUAGUUGGCGGGGUAAAGGCCCACCAAGGCGACGAUCCGUAGCUGGUCUGAGAGGAUGAUCAGCCACACUGGAGCUGAGGCACGGUCCAGCCUCCUCCGGGGGGCAGCAGUGGGGACUAUUGGACAAUGGGCGCACGCCUGUACCAGCCUUACCGCCUGGGUGAAGAAGGCCUUCGGGUUGUAAAGUCCUUUUGUUGGGAAAGAAAAGAAGCAGGCUAAGACCCCGCUGUUCUGCCGCUACCCAAAGACUAAGCACCGGCUAACUUCGU
RNAcentral lists this ribosomal RNA (491 nucleotides) under uncultured bacterium. RNAcentral's name for it is "partial 16S ribosomal RNA". It matches the Rfam family "Bacterial small subunit ribosomal RNA", at positions 29 to 506 of the family's 1533-position model. The record is from RNAcentral.